AUUGAACGCUGGCGGCAGGCUUAACACAUGCAAGUCGAGCGGUAGCACAAGAGAGCUUGCUCUCUGGGUGACGAGCGGCGGACGGGUGAGUAAUGUCUGGGAAACUGCCUGAUGGAGGGGGAUAACUACUGGAAACGGUAGCUAAUACCGCAUAAUGUCGCAAGACCAAAGAGGGGGACCUUCGGGCCUCUUGCCAUCAGAUGUGCCCAGAUGGGAUUAGCUAGUAGGUGGGGUAAUGGCUCACCUAGGCGACGAUCCCUAGCUGGUCUGAGAGGAUGACCAGCCACACUGGAACUGAGACACGGUCCAGACUCCUACGGGAGCAGCAGUGGGGAAUAUUGCACAAUGGGCGCAAGCCUGAUGCAGCCAUGCCGCGUGUGUGAAGAAGGCCUUCGGGUUGUAAAGCACUUUCAGCGAGGAGGAAGGUGGUGAGCUUAAUACGUUCAUCAAUUGACGUUACUCGCAGAA
This 468-nucleotide ribosomal RNA is filed under the name uncultured bacterium. RNAcentral's name for it is "bacterial SSU rRNA". It matches the Rfam family "Bacterial small subunit ribosomal RNA", at positions 30 to 486 of the family's 1533-position model. The record is from RNAcentral.